RNAcentral lists this ribosomal RNA (105 nucleotides) under Salvator merianae (Argentine black and white tegu). Lineage: Eukaryota; Metazoa; Chordata; Lepidosauria; Squamata; Teiidae. The record is from RNAcentral.
GUUUAUGUACAUCUCUAAUCUUGUCUGAUCAAGGAAGAUGAAAAGGGUUGAGCCUGACUAGUACUUGGAUGGGCGACCACAAAGGAAUCUUAUGUACCGUAGACU